RNAcentral lists this long non-coding RNA (409 nucleotides) under Rattus norvegicus (Norway rat). RNAcentral describes it as "long non-coding RNA NONRATT024023". Lineage: Eukaryota; Metazoa; Chordata; Mammalia; Rodentia; Muridae. The record is from RNAcentral.
GAGCACGCUAGCUCUUGGCUCUGUGGACCGGCAGCCCAAGAACUGGUGGUAAUUAUGUCUGCCUGUGGGGGACACCAGCAGGAGCCAAACACAACAUGACACGCCUCCAGGGAGGGGGUACCCCUGGGUACAGAUACUUUCUAGACGCUUCUUUCUGGGGUCGUUGUUGGGAUGCCAGCAGCAGGUCCCGAGCGAGGCUCACUUGCUUGAUGGGGAGACUGUCUCAGGGAAGCCUCUGAGUAGGGCUGGGCCUCUCGCUUCAGGAACCCGUUCUUUGCAAGGAGACCCUGUCUGUAUUCUGCUUUGGUCCCUUCUCCAGCGAUGCCAGCCCAAGGCUAGCAAUAUGUCAGUAAGGACUGCUGGACUUUCCAAGAGGAACCUGGAAUCGGGGAAAUGGUGGGGGAAAUCA